GGGUAUUCCUUAAAUACUUAAAUAGUGUAUGUGUUCGCCUCACAGUUUCGUGGCGACGGCUUGUGUACACUUCACAUUUGUAGAUUUGCAUGUUUACUUGGGGAGAUCAACUAAACGACAAUAUUUAAUCUUCUCGAUUUUUUAUUACAAGUAACUAUUUACCUAAUGUUCAUAUCAGUGCAAAAAAAAAUUGUAGAUAAAGACGAAGCCAGAGCCAAAAACAUCGAUUACCAUUCUCAUCUGUCAAAAUAUACAACACAUAUUCCCUCACAAAACUAUGAAAAAAACACCUAAUAAAAUACAAAAAGUAUAACAAUCUACAAAAAUAAGUGACAAGACGUCCUGAAACAUUGUAAAUAAAACAAAUAUUUAAACCGCCAGCCAUUGUCCAUCUUGUCACAGGGAGUGGCAGUGAAGGCGGACCCAGAUUUUUGUGUGUUUUCUGUGUACCCACGCCUACCAAGUACUCAUCAGGGUCCCCAUAUGACUUAAACCUCCCCUGGUUGGUGAUACAGAAGGCGGAGUGACUGCCACAGACUCCAGGAUGAAAGACUGAAAUACAAGCUGACCUGAACCAGAGGGAGAGAAAGCUACUAUACGGUGAGUACAGCAGUGAUAUCUGUGAGUCAACGUCACUGGUUCGCAUAACAACACGCAUCAAGGCACAGAAAGGUGAGGACAAGUUGCUGUUCUCACGCAUCAAGGCACAGAAAGGUGAGGACAAGUUGCUGUUCUCACGCAUCAAGGCACAGAAAGGGAAGUUGUCCUCAAACUUUGGAGGGAAGAGCAGCUCCUCCUUGAGCCGCGUCAUGACGGCCAGGCGCUCCAUGCCCGUCCCAAAGGGCACCAGCAUCUCAAAGAACACCAGGCCCAGUGUGUGGCAGGCGUGUAG
Scylla paramamosain (green mud crab) is the source of this 892-nucleotide long non-coding RNA. RefSeq lists it as uncharacterized. Lineage: Eukaryota; Metazoa; Arthropoda; Malacostraca; Decapoda; Portunidae. The record is from RefSeq and is a predicted model, not a curated record. The transcript has 4 exons.